This 356-nucleotide transfer-messenger RNA is filed under the name Lentisphaerota bacterium. Its description in RNAcentral is "Lentisphaerae bacterium (anaerobic digester metagenome) transfer-messenger RNA". It matches the Rfam family "transfer-messenger RNA". Rfam says of the family: Bacterial tmRNA, also known as 10Sa RNA or SsrA, is named for its dual tRNA and mRNA-like properties. Its role is to liberate the mRNA from a stalled ribosome. To accomplish this part of the tmRNA is used as a reading frame that ends in a translation stop signal. The record is from RNAcentral. Lineage: Bacteria; Pseudomonadati; Lentisphaerota.
GGGGGCGACAUGGUUUCGACGUGUAGUUUGAAACUCAGGUUGCGUGUCGGGGACUCCGGUUGGCCCCGUUAAGAAUCCGGAAUUCUGUAUAAACGCCAACUCAGAAAUGGCACUCGCGGCUUAACGACCGCGACGUUUUCCCGCAGACGCCUGCUAAGCGGAGUAAGACGUCGACAGCAGGCUGGCUUUUCGGCCGGGUGCCCGGGUUUGAAAAGCGAGACACUUUCGUGGACGCUGGCUGUUGAGAUCACCUGUCCAUCGGCGGUUUCAGCAGUGAGAUUAAAUGAUGGAACACACACGUAGAGAUCUUAGCGGAUGCUAUGCGGACGGGGGUUCGAAUCCCCCCGCCUCCACCA